Molecule: ribosomal RNA, 424 nt
Filed under: Fusobacteriota bacterium
Lineage: Bacteria; Fusobacteriati; Fusobacteriota
Description: Fusobacteria bacterium partial 16S ribosomal RNA
Rfam family: Bacterial small subunit ribosomal RNA
Source: RNAcentral
UGAGGAAUAUUGGUCAAUGGUCGAGAGACUGAACCAGCCAAGUCGCGUGAAGGAUGACUGCCCUAUGGGUUGUAAACUUCUUUUACAAGGGAAUAAAAUGAGAUACGUGUAUUUUCUUGCAUGUACCUUGGUAAUAAGCAUCGGCUAACUCCGUGCCAGCAGCCGCGGUAAUACGGAGGAUGCGAGCGUUAUCCGGAUUUAUUGGGUUUAAAGGGUGCGUAGGUGGGCUGUUAAGUCAGCGGUGAAAGUUUGUCGCUUAACGAUAAAAUUGCCGUUGAAACUGGUAGUCUUGAGUAUAGAUGAAGUAGGCGGAAUGCGUGGUGUAGCGGUGAAAUGCAUAGAGAUCACGCAGAACUCCGAUUGCGAAGGCAGCUUACUAAGGUAUAACUGACACUGAAGCACGAAAGCGUGGGUAUCAAACAGG